Molecule: unclassified non-coding RNA, 815 nt
Filed under: Hevea brasiliensis (rubber tree)
Lineage: Eukaryota; Viridiplantae; Streptophyta; Magnoliopsida; Malpighiales; Euphorbiaceae
Source: RNAcentral
GACAUUUAUGAAUUAGAAUUAAAAGAUUUUUAAUUUAAAAAUUAACAAAAGUUUAGAACUUUUUUGGCCUAAAUCAAAAUAUCACAUUAAAUUUUUAAUUAAAAAAAAUUCUUUGAUCCACUAGCCACAAAACCGAGUUCCCCCAUUGAAACGACACGCCCACCCUAAUUGAACAAUCUAGGCCAACCAGAAACGUGAAUGGGCGUCCCACGUACAAUAGACGAGUCUGCACUUUGAAUUUUAAUUUGGAAGAAUCUUUCCUUCCAUUUUCAUAUCUUCACCUCCACGCAAACGUAAUCUUGAAGGGGGACGUAAAGAUCUCACCUUUUCUAUACCUUUGAAAAAGCAAAUCCUUUUUCACUGCUUCUACAGAUUAAUGUUGACUAAAAGCUUAAAAGAUUACCAUAAAGCGCAGAAAGUGUUGCCUGGAAGCAUUUGGUAAUGCCCUAUGAAGACCUGCAUAUAAACACAUGGAAGCUGACCGAUGAUCACUUUAUUUUGCCGCACAAAUUAUAAAUCAUCUCUCAAUGCUCAGUAAGACAAAUGACAUUUGUUCAAAUGCUAAUCCAAGUCAUCUCCUUUUUUCUAAAAAGAGGCAAAGAAUGAUUGAAAAAAUAGAAACAACAAGAACCCAGAAACAAGAUAUGCGAUUAUUACGCCAAGUCCAAUCUAGAGCUUUUUGUCACCUUUCCCUUUCUUACUUAUAUAAGCAAAGAUUGAAGAAAAUUAUGAACUUGAGAAACCAAGUUAGAAUCAAUGAGGGAGGGCUCAAGUUUUUAGCUAGGCUGAUAGAUCCCAUUCAAUCCAUCUGAAAA